UACACUCCUGCGGGAGGCAGCAGUGGGGAAUAUUGGACAAUGGGCGCAAGCCUGAUCCAGCCAUGCCGCGUGAGUGAUGAAGGCCCUAGGGUUGUAAAGCUCUUUCACCGGUGAAGAUAAUGACGGUAACCGGAGAAGAAGCCCCGGCUAACUUCGUGCCAGCAGCCGCGGUAAUACGAAGGGGGCUAGCGUUGUUCGGAUUUACUGGGCGUAAAGCGCACGUAGGCGGACUAUUAAGUCAGGGGUGAAAUCCCGGGGCUCAACCCCGGAACUGCCUUUGAUACUGGUAGUCUUGAGUUCGAGAGAGGUGGGUGGAAUUCCGAGUGUAGAGGUGAAAUUCGUAGAUAUUCGGAGGAACACCAGUGGCGAAGGCGGCUCACUGGCUCGAUACUGACGCUGAGGUGCGAAAGCGUGGGGAGCAAACAGGAUUAGAAACCCCAGUAGUCCC
RNAcentral lists this ribosomal RNA (448 nucleotides) under uncultured organism. Its description in RNAcentral is "partial 16S ribosomal RNA". It matches the Rfam family "Bacterial small subunit ribosomal RNA", at positions 332 to 797 of the family's 1533-position model. The record is from RNAcentral.